This 5158-nucleotide unclassified non-coding RNA is filed under the name Chelonus insularis. RNAcentral's name for it is "trafficking protein particle complex subunit 10, transcript variant X1". The record is from RNAcentral. Lineage: Eukaryota; Metazoa; Arthropoda; Insecta; Hymenoptera; Braconidae.
GUGUAUCCCAAAUGCUGUACAUAUUAUUUUCUACAGGACGGUAUAGGUCACUCGCAUGCAUAACCUUUAAAAAAUCAAACAGCAUUUAUGUCCAGUACUGUACAUAUCUUUAUGAGUUAAGGUGUUCAUUAUAAAAUUCUGUCAAGUUUUUAAACAGACUCAAUAAUUUCUUUUCGUUAAAGAAAUUAAUUAGUUUUAGCCUAUUCAGUAGUCUUAAUAAUCGUAAUUGUUUAAAUCAAAUCGGUAUAAAUCAAUAGCAGCCUGUUAAUGGGAAACUCAUUUUUUAUAUUAACUCGGUUUUAACCUUACUGAAUCUUAUUUACUACUUCAAUUAUAAUAACUGUCACUUAUCUAAAGUCAAUGUUCAUUAAAAUUUAUUUUUAUAUAACAUAAUUUAGACAAUAUUUACGCAUGUUAAAAAAUGAAUCGUCGUGACAAUUUACACUCUCAAGAUGAAAAUUUGUAUCUGAUAAAAAACUGGAAAUCAAUUAUAACCUAUGCUGGGAAUGACUCACUGUUUUCAACUAUACAACAAAAUUUAACGCACAGCAUAUCGUUAGAUGCCAUUGAGUGGCGUAGAUCUUUUGGUCGUCCUACGAAGCAAGUCAAAUUAAAAGUAGAUUUCUCACGAUUUUCAUUUGAAUUGAUUAAAAAUAGGAAGCAAAAUAUUCUGACAGAUCAACCAAUACUUCAUACGUAUUGGACCGAUUGUUCGGAUUUAGAUGCAUAUAAAUUAUCAGUCAAAGAUGAUAUUGAUAAUUGGUUCAAGGCUUUACAACAGUAUGAUAUAAAUGAUUGGAUGAUAAUUGUAGUUGAAACAUAUGAUAUAAGGAAAGCUAACAAACUUAUACCUCGAACGACUGUUCUUGAUAAAAUCCGUAACGAUUUUGGAGCAAAACAUGGUGAUAGAUGCCUAUCUGUUAUUAACACUUCAAAAACUGAGUCUCGUUCAGUUGAGUCAUGGCGAGGGUUAGUAUUACGACUUCAACAUUUCAUGUUAACUGCCUAUGAUAAAUUAUUAUUACAAUUUGAAGAGAUCAUCCGAGAGCAAAGGGAAUGUCGAAAUUUAAAAGACUGGAACUUCUAUGAAUAUUUCCUUCUCCAGGAAGAGCUUGCUUUUCUAUUGGAAACAUUGGAAAUUUAUGAUGAAGCGCUUGUGCAAUAUGAUGAGCUUGAUGCUUUAUUCACACAAUUUAUUCUUAAUUCAGAAGUUGGUGAUACACCGUUAUGGCUUAAUUCUUUUCGAUCACCUCUCAAUUAUUGGACGGGAAUAAUUUUAAAAAGUAAUCACCAUCAUCAUCUUCGAAAACUUAUAUCGGACCACAAAGCAUCUCUUCUAGAUCUUCGGAGUUAUUUAUUCACGAGACAGUGUAUUCUUUUGGUUUUACUUAAUAAACCAUGGGAGAUUGCCCAUCGCUGUUUACCGUUUAUAUAUAAUACGUUAAGUGAAUUUCGAAUCUUGGAUAUACAAACUCCUUAUGGUUCUUUGGAAUGCUGGGCUAUUCUGUGUGUAAUGGAAGUAUUGGAUGUAUGUCAAUUCGAAUAUUCCAAAAUGGAUAGUAGUCAACAUCUGGAUCUCUGUUCAUUAUAUACUGCUGGUUUGUGGAGUCUCGCAACGGAUAAACUUGAGAAACUUGGAAUAUUUUGUGGACUUAUGCCUGGGAAUACACCAACUAGUGAGCAACUUCACACGGUAGUUUAUCUUAAUGCUGGAAUGGGUGAUUCAUAUAGUCAAUGCCCAGAAAAGUGGAGUCCAAUUGAUAAACUUAAAAGAGCAUUGUCUUCAAAAAAUGUGUUUACCCAACAAUAUAUUGAAUAUUCUGAAUUAGCAAUGGGAACGUAUAAACACAUCGGCCGUUUAAGAUCAGCGAAAUAUAUAGGAAUAAAAUUAGCUAAAUUUCAUAGCCACAUGGAGGAAGAUCAAAUUGCUGCUACUUUUUUACUGGAGGCAUUAAAAACAUACAUAGACGAAGGUUGGAAACAAUUAGCGGUCGAAACUCAAUUACAACUUGGCCUUUCAUAUAAAAAGUUAGGUGAUAUAGAAAAAUAUAUAAAAGUCAGUAGUUCGAUUGCUAGUACAACAAUAUUAGAUUUGGAAAUACGCAAAACCUACCAUCAAGAAAUUUUGAAGUAUUUAAAAAUGUUAUCGUCAUCGCAGACCAUACCUAUUGAACUAAAAGAAGCAUUCAAUAUUCAUCGGAUUGAAGUGAAAGUAAACAAUAAAGCGACUGAAAAUUGUACAGUUGAAAUAUAUGUGGUAGUAGAAUGCCGAUUACCUUAUACGAUAAAGGAAGCUCGUGUAGUAAUGUUUGUUCAUGAAGUUAUCGAAAAUUCGAGGUAUGAAGGGAAAAAACUUUUACUGGAUUCAUUACCCAAAUCAUCCUGUGAAGCGUCCUUCAACCACAUUUAUAGUCCUAAUUUGAAAGAAAAUGAUUCAGAAGUAGUUUCAUAUCUCAAUCAUCAAGAAGAUAAAUCCAUAAGGUCUGUUGGAAUUAUCAACAAAAGAAUAAAACAAUCAACAACUUUUCAUAGCCGAUUCAAAGAUAACCAAAAAAUAUCUGAUGAUAGAACAAUAUCUGAAAAAGUUCAUAUUUCUAAAAAUUUGAUUCUCAAGCCAGGCCUGAAUGAUUUUGUAAUAAGUGAAAAAGUGAACCAUUCUGGACUUUAUAAAAUUAAUGGGAUAUCAAUAGUUCUUUUUAACGUAUUAGAGUAUCAAUUACAGUCACUUGAUCCAGAAUUAGUAUAUAAUAUUACAAAAACUCAUCCAGUUAUUACUUUAAAUAGCAAAAAUCUUUUUGCUGGACUAAUGCAAGAUGUCGAAUUAAUUAUUCAGAAUGGGAGCGAUAAGAUUCUAAAACAUACUACAUUGAAUGUAUGGACUACGAAAGGUGUAAAAAUAACAUUACCUGACAAAGCUAAAACUAUUUCUGAUCGAUUGGAAAUAUUAUUAUCAGAUUAUGAACCAUUUAAAAAAGACAAAAUUGCCUUCGGCCUCUUUGCACAAAUUCCAAUGAAAAAGGAUUCACAAUCGCUACAACAUCAGUUAUUCAUUCAAUUAUCAUGGGGUCCAGAGAUAAAAAUACCUUUGAAUUUUGAGCUUCCAUUGAUAUCUCAGUUAAAAGUUUACACUAUUGGGAAAAAGAAAUAUUUGCAAAUCGCAGUCACUGGAGUAACCAAUUUUUUUUUACAAUUGUUCGAACCAAAAUUAUCGACCAAUGCAUUGACAAAAAUAUCUCUAAAAAGUCUUAACAUAGCUACUCCUCAGAAACAGAUUAUCAGGACUGGAAUAAAAAAUUUUUACAUGUGGGAAUUAGAGUCAUAUGAACACCAAGAUCCGUCACAACCAAUUCAAAUCAAUUUUUAUGUAAAAUACUCUCCUGUCCAAGGCAUCGAAGGAAUAAGAGGGCUUGACAUCUAUGAUGAUCCUCUUCAUAUUAAAAAACACAGCAAUAUGGAAAAUUUGAUAAAUACAUACCAGUAUAGUUUCGAACUAUCGAAUUUCAAUACUUUAUUCAUGAUAUUAUCGAAAAUUGAAACUAGUGGAAAUGGAGGUGAUUUCUGUCGAGCCGGUAGUAUUUGCCACUUAUGUGUGAUAAUAAAGCGCAUGGUUUCUCUGUCUAAUUUUACUUAUCUACCACAAUUAAUGUAUGAAGUUUUAACUGAUCACUCUAUGUGGGCAGUAUGUGGUCGUACUGCCGGAAUUCUCACACUUAAUGAUACUGAUGAACAGAGCGUAACAUUAGAUGUUAUGCCAUUAAAAAGUGGUUAUUUACCAUUGCCAAUAGUACGUUUGUCUCGCUAUAUUGCAGCUAUUGAACCAAAAAGCGACCCAUUUAAACAUGUAGAAUGCAGUGGACCAAAACUGGAACCCUUUAAUGUUGGUCAAGUGUAUAAUGCAAGUAAAUCACAACAAAUCUACGUAUUACCAGCUGCAUCAAUUGAGUUUUAUUGAAGCUACAUUUGUGUAAAAAAAUGUUGAUAUAUUUUACGCUGUAAACGAGACAGCAGAAUAAGAUGAAGCAUGUUACAAAGAAUGCAGAUACAGAAAGGAUGAAACAAUGCCUAAAUUUACAAUGCAAAUAGCUACAUAGAGUUUGAAUGAUAAACAAUUAAUCAGUUUAUAAUAUGAGUGUUGGAAUAUCUAAUUUUGACGAAGUUCUUGGCAGUUACUACCUCAAAGUAAGUUGCUCGUGGUUCAGUCAGUACAGUCAGAGAAUACUAUUAAAUAUCAUUAUUGCUUUAUUCAUAAUAUAUGAAAUUGAAAAAAUUUCGUUGCACAAAAAUUGAGUAAAAAAAGAGUUUCAUGGAGUAAUGAUGUAUGGUUUUUUUUAUCAAGUUGGUGAUCAAAGUUUUUUAUUGCUAUGAAGUUCUCUCACUAACAGAUUAUAAAGUUGGUAACAAGUUAUUCUUGCUUAAGCAUAAAUAUACAAAUAAUAAAAGUAUUUUUUAAAUAAAUUUAUAUUUUUUUAAUAGUAAUUUGUAAUUGAUAUGUACAAAAUAUCGUGAAAUUUCAUCAAAAGCAGCCUCCUCUUUCUGGGCUGUACAAAAAUGUGCACCCAGCAUAAAUGAUGACAAUGAUAGAACUACAAAAAGUCUUCAAAUUAUUAAACGCCAAUUAUUUAAGUUCAAGAAUCAACAAUAGUUGAAAAUGUCGAAUCAAUAAUUACCGAUAGGCCCUUUUGUCAUUGAGCGUGAUUGAGCCACAAUACUUUAUAAGAUUACAUUGUAUAAAUAAUAACUAAAUAAAACAUUAACUCGGAGUCUUCAAGAAACGCCACUGUCGACAUCGAGACAUUAUAGACUCAUUAUUGUUUAACAAAUUAAAUUAAAAACUGUAUUCACCGUUAAUUGAUCUCUGAUUAUUGUUAAUUUAUUCUAAUGUUGAAACUGUUUGUAUUACGUUACUACAACCAGCGGAACAAAGACGUACGCUGAGAAAUUUUACAUGAGAAAUGAUCGUAAAACUGUUUAUCCUAAUAGUUAAGCUGCGUGCAAGAAAACUUUGUAAGAUUUUGUCAUGAACGGCUGCCUCGUAAAAUACCUUAUAAUUCAAAUAAAUAAAAAAGUAAUAUCAGUGCUCUGCAGUGGUCUGGGUGCGACCCGAAAGGUCCACAUGACCAACUUCCCAGUGGUAAAAAUAAAAAAAAAAUUAUGCGUU